This 397-nucleotide ribosomal RNA is filed under the name uncultured bacterium. RNAcentral describes it as "partial 16S ribosomal RNA". It matches the Rfam family "Bacterial small subunit ribosomal RNA", at positions 523 to 918 of the family's 1533-position model. The record is from RNAcentral.
AUACGUAGGGGGCGAGCGUUGUCCGGAAUGAUUGGGCGUAAAGGGCGCGUAGGCGGCGCGGUAAGUCUGGAGUGAAAGUCCUGCUUUCAAGGUGGGAAUUGCUUUGGAUACUGCCGCGCUUGAGUGCAGGAGAGGUUAUCGGAAUUCCCGGUGUAGCGGUGAAAUGCGUAGAGAUCGGGAGGAACACCAAUGGCGAAGGCGGGUAACUGGACUGCAACUGACGCUGAGGCGCGAAAGUGUGGGGAGCAAACAGGAUUAGAUACCCUGGUAGUCCACACUGUAAACGAUGAAUGCUAGGUGUAAGAGGUAUCGACCCCUUUUGUGCCGGAGUCAACACAAUAAGCAUUCCGCCUGGGGAGUACGGCCGCAAGGUUGAAACUCAAAUGAAUUGACGGGG